UACGUAGGGGGCAAGCGUUGUCCGGAAUCAUUGGGCGUAAAGAGCGUGUAGGCGGCCAGAAAAGUCCGCUGUGAAAACUCGAGGCUCAACUUCGAGCUGUCGGUGGAAACUUUCUGGCUAGAGUCCGGAAGAGGAGAAUGGAAUUCCUGGUGUAGCGGUGAAAUGCGCAGAUAUCAGGAAGAACACCAACGGCGAAGGCAGCUCGCUGGGACGGUACUGACGCUGAGACGCGAAAGCCAGGGGAGCAAACGGG
Molecule: ribosomal RNA, 253 nt
Filed under: uncultured bacterium
Lineage: Bacteria
Description: partial 16S ribosomal RNA
Rfam family: Bacterial small subunit ribosomal RNA
Source: RNAcentral